RNAcentral lists this ribosomal RNA (492 nucleotides) under uncultured bacterium. RNAcentral describes it as "partial 16S ribosomal RNA". It matches the Rfam family "Bacterial small subunit ribosomal RNA", at positions 29 to 507 of the family's 1533-position model. The record is from RNAcentral.
AGUGAACGCUGGCGGUAGGCUUAACACAUGCAAGUCGAACGGCAGCACACUACUAUCUUGCUCUUCCGGGUUGCGAGUCGCGGACGGGAGACGUAUACAUCCUACUCUACUUUUUCGUGGGGCUUCACGUAGGUAAACUUACGCCAAUACCGCAUCCGCUCUUCCGGUGUAAGCAUUGGAUCUUCGGACCUUGCGCGAUUGAAUGCGCCGAUGUCGGACUUGCUAGUUGGCGGGGUAAAGGCCCACCAAGGCGACGAUCCGUAGCUGGUCUGAGAGGAUGAUCAGCCACACUGGAACUGAGACACGGUCCAGACUCCUACGGGAGGCAGCAGUGGGGAAUAUUGGACAAUGGGCGCAAGCCUGAUCCAGCCAUACCGCGUGGGUGAAGAAGGCCUUCGGGUUGUAAAGCCCUUUUGUUGGGAAAGAAAAGCAGCAGGUUAAUACCCCGCUGUUCUGACGGUACCCAAAGAAUAAGCACCGGCUAACUUCGUG